This 23-nucleotide microRNA is filed under the name Caenorhabditis elegans. The record is from RNAcentral. Lineage: Eukaryota; Metazoa; Nematoda; Chromadorea; Rhabditida; Rhabditidae.
UAUCAAGGACGCGAUCCACUAAA